AGAGUUUGAUCCUGGCUCAGGACGAACGCUGGCGGCGUGCUUAACACAUGCAAGUCGAGCGGAAAGGCCCUUCGGGGUACUCGAGCGGCGAACGGGUGAGUAACACGUGAGUAACCUGCCCCAGACUUUGGGAUAACCCUCGGAAACGGGGGCUAAUACCGGAUAUUACUUCGCAUCGCAUGGUGCUUGGUGGAAAGUUUUUCGGUUUGGGAUGGACUCGCGGCCUAUCAGCUUGUUGGUGAGGUAAUGGCUCACCAAGGCGAGGACGGGUAGCCGGCCUGAGAGGGCGACCGGCCACACUGGGACUGAGACACGGCCCAGACUCCUACGGGAGGCAGCAGUGGGGAAUAUUGCACAAUGGGCGGAAGCCUGAUGCAGCGACGCCGCGUGAGGGAUGACGGCCUUCGGGUUGUAAACCUCUUUCAGCAGGGACGAAGCGCAAGUGACGGUACCUGCAGAAGAAGCGCCGGCCAACUACGUGCCAGCAGCCGCGGUAAGACGUAGGGCGCGAGCGUUGUCCGGAUUUAUUGGGCGUAAAGAGCUCGUAGGCGGCUUGUCGCGUCGACUGUGAAAACUUGGGGCUCAACUCCAAGCUUGCAGUCGAUACGGGCAGGCUAGAGUUCGGUAGGGGAGACUGGAAUUCCUGGUGUAGCGGUGAAAUGCGCAGAUAUCAGGAGGAACACCGGUGGCGAAGGCGGGUCUCUGGGCCGAUACUGACGCUGAGGAGCGAAAGCGUGGGGAGCGAACAGGAUUAGAUACCCUCGUAGUCC
This 770-nucleotide ribosomal RNA is filed under the name uncultured bacterium. RNAcentral describes it as "bacterial SSU rRNA". It matches the Rfam family "Bacterial small subunit ribosomal RNA", at positions 8 to 796 of the family's 1533-position model. The record is from RNAcentral.